AAGUCGUAACAAGGUUUCCGUAGGUGAACCUGCGGAAGGAUCAUUAACACGUAUCCAAACGUUAAAACCCCCCCCGUGAACCUUCAUCCUGCUCUUGUAACCCGCGUAGUUCGCAAUCUCUGAUAAAUCAUAGCCCGGAAAGUUGUAGUGAUUCAGAGACCUCUGGCUACGUGCGAACAUUGGAACAGUUACAAUCGAGCGGUAGUUCUUGUGCAAGGAUAGCGCUUCUACGAUUCCUGUAGACCGUACACUCGGGCAGGAGCUUUGCCAAAGGGUCCCCAUGCCCCCUAAUAACCCCACAGUUUAAUGUGAAGCUCAAUGUAAUACAUUGGGUAAAAAAACCGAACAACUGUUAACAAUGGAUAUCUUGGUUCUC
This 376-nucleotide unclassified non-coding RNA is filed under the name fungal sp. RNAcentral describes it as "partial internal transcribed spacer region". The stretch from base 1 to 46 matches the Rfam family "Eukaryotic small subunit ribosomal RNA", at positions 1786 to 1831 of the family's 1831-position model. Lineage: Eukaryota; Fungi. The record is from RNAcentral.